CAAGAAUGGAGAAGAGGAAGAGAAUGAAGAAGAGAAGAAGGAUGAACUCCCAGGAGAUGAUGAAUGCAGCGAAUUUCCUACACUGAUAAAAAUCUGCCCAUACAAUCACAAAGAAAUCUGUACCACCACAAAUGAGAUCAUGGGCAACAAAUGCAUGUUCUGUUUUAGGAUACAGUAAGUCAUACUAUCCAUUGGAUUUAUUGAUAACAGCUAGAGCAGCUGGAAUCCUGCAGUUAAGGUAUUGUUGGUGAAAGUGGAUAAAAUAUGUCCAUCUAGUGCCAACCAUGGUCCCUAUACAUGUUCCAAGUAAUUAUUGCUAGAUUUGCAAACUGAAAAGGAGAAAUGGGAGGGAAGGGACUAAUGAAGAAGAAAGUUCUACUGUACUCCAUUCAGGUUUCAGAUCUCCAUUCUGUGUAGAUUUGCCUUCCUCCUACUCUUAGAUCACCAAGCUGAAAUUGCUUCCUAAAUGGGAGGGAGCAUAGAGAACUAAAAUCUUUACAUAAGACACCCAUCCUCCAUUGUGCCCUCACUCCUGGCUGGGCAGCUAUUUUAGCUGAGUGAUGGGAGCAAAGUUUGAAUGGAGACCUCUGACCCCUCUUUCCUUUUCAUGUUUUCAUCUUGGUGAUCUAGCAGUAAUAACAGAAAGGUUUUAGAAAGUAUACCUGGAAACAGAAGGAAAAAUCAGGAGAUGCAAGGGGGUUAGAAACAUCAGCAGCUAAUAUAACAACAAACAUCACCAGCACACACCCAUAAAAGAAUAAGAAUGACCACGUUUAUAAACCACAUUAGUUGAACUGCCUGUAGAAAAUAUAUUUUCUUUAAAAUAUAAUUUUAAAAAAGAACAGGAGGUGAGAAAUGAAACAAAAAAUACUGCAAUUAGCAGAAUGUAGAUGGGAUCUUGAGGGGGGAAGUACAUACAGCACAGAAAUCCACCACUAGAGUGACACAAGUGGUGUCUGGAUAAGCAAAGAGGUGGGAAAAGGUAAAACAGAAUCUAACAAAGGAUAUUGAGGUGAUUUGCAGAUCUGACUGCCAGUGAUCUCAUAACAGGAACACUCAAGUUUGCCCAGCCCUGAUUUGUAAUGUGAGUUUCUGAAAUUUGCUAUCUGAAGAAGUAUCGUGACACUUGUUGUUUUGUUUUAUUUCAUCAAGCUGCUUAAUGUAUCCAACCAGGAGAUAUUGGCAUUGCACAUGAGGGUCCAUGCAAAGAAGAGCAGCCUCAAGAAGAAGAGAAAAAGCCUGAAGAAGAGGUUGGUCAUGAGGAGUUGGAUUAUGACAUGGACUACUGGUACAUGUACUAGAUGAAUGUGGACAAGGAUGGGACAUAAUGCAAAACAUCUUAAACAGAGGAGAUUAUUAUUUUUUAUUUCUUUGUCUAAAGAUAAUGUAUGUUUUAACAUCUACUACAAAUAAUUUUUUUUAGUUGCUGAUAGAAUAAAAUUAAUUGAACUAAAUAAUCUCCCUUUUUCCUAUUAGCAGGGACCUCUGUGUGGUGGAACAAGAGAGAAUAAUGUCAAGAUACAUUUCCCCCCAUUCCCUAUGUCAAUUAUUUUCUGUUUAGAAAGAAACAGAAUCAAUUAUUCCAUUAAAAGCAACUCAUUCAAUAAAUGGGUUCCAAAGACCUCAGAGGGAUUUUGAACUGUAGUAUGGUUUGGAUUAGAGCCUAAAGAUAACAAGGUCAGCUGCGGUUAGUACUUUGUUGGGGGACUACUGAUGAAUAUCAGGUGCUAUAGGCUAUGUUUCAGAGGAAGGAACUAACAAAUCCACCUACUGAGUAUUCCUUGCCUAAGAAAACCCUAUGAAUUCAAGGGAUUGCCAUAAGUUGACAGGUGAUUCGAAGACACAUAUGCACACAUAUGGUUUGAACAAAUUUUGACUGGAACAGUGCAUUCACAGA
Molecule: long non-coding RNA, 1897 nt
Organism: Sceloporus undulatus (fence lizard)
Lineage: Eukaryota; Metazoa; Chordata; Lepidosauria; Squamata; Phrynosomatidae
Exons: 4
Source: RefSeq, a predicted model, not a curated record